This 532-nucleotide ribosomal RNA is filed under the name uncultured bacterium. RNAcentral's name for it is "partial 16S ribosomal RNA". It matches the Rfam family "Bacterial small subunit ribosomal RNA", at positions 355 to 874 of the family's 1533-position model. The record is from RNAcentral.
UGGGGAAUUUUGGACAAUGGGCGAAAGCCUGAUCCAGCAAUGCCGCGUGUGUGAAGAAGGCCUUCGGGUUGUAAAGCACUUUUGUCCGGAAAGAAAUCCUUGGCUCUAAUACAGUCGGGGGAUGACGGUACCGGAAGAAUAAGCACCGGCUAACUACGUGCCAGCAGCCGCGGUAAUACGUAGGGUGCAAGCGUUAAUCGGAAUUACUGGGCGUAAAGCGUGCGCAGGCGGUUUGCUAAGACCGAUGUGAAAUCCCCGGGCUCAACCUGGGAACUGCAUUGGUGACUGGCAGGCUAGAGUAUGGCAGAGGGGGGUAGAAUUCCACGUGUAGCAGUGAAAUGCGUAGAGAUGUGGAGGAAUACCGAUGGCGAAGGCAGCCCCCUGGGCCAAAUACUGACGCUCAUGCACGAAAAGCGUGGGGGAGCAAAACAGGAUUAGAUACCCUGGGUAGUCCACGCCCUAAAACGAUGUCAACUAGUUGUUGGGGAUUCAUUUCCUUAGUAACGUAGCUAACGCGUGAAGUUGACCGCCU